Molecule: long non-coding RNA, 1092 nt
Organism: Mastomys coucha (southern multimammate mouse)
Lineage: Eukaryota; Metazoa; Chordata; Mammalia; Rodentia; Muridae
Exons: 2
Source: RefSeq, a predicted model, not a curated record
AGGCGCCCCUCCUUUAAGCCUCUAAGUCACCCACUUCCAGCCAACACUAGGGAGCCCCGGGAGCAUCCAGAGGCCGAGCGAGGGGAGGUGGAGGUUGGGGGGCGUUUGGAGAGAGGAUGUUAGUCUUGAGCUACCGUGGUGAAAACUUGUCUUAAAAGCAGGGACUAGGCCUGCGUCUCCCACACGGAUUUCUAAAGGACUGAGGAGGAGAGCCGCGACGCGGGGAGGUUGGAGACUGCUUUGGACCAGCAACCUAGUGCGCACCGCCGAGUGGCGAGGCCCCGAGCGCAAAGACUGUGCGUCUUUAUCUCUGAACUCUAGGCGACCUCACUGCUUCCAGGCAAAGCACCUCUCUUUCUCGCUCGGCUUCUCCAGAUCUCCAGAGUCCCACGGACUCUUCAGGGGGGCCACUAAUCUCGGUAGUUCGGCUGUCUAGUUCCUGGCUACGGAGCACCCACUGGGAGGCCCCUGUCGGGUCCUCGGGAUCCUCGGCACCGCGCCGCCUACAGGCUCGCGGCUGUGGGCAGGAGUUUGCGUGUCUCUGCUCCCCAGCCACGUGGCGUCCGGUUCACUCUCCACCUGGAUCGCGGCCGUGGAGGUCCGGGCAGAAGGGGCCUGGUGAGCAUCCACGUCUCUCGUUUUUUUUGUUUUUUGUUUUUUGUUUUUGUUUUUUUUUUUUCACCCCCGAAGACCGUUUUGAGGCGUUUUGAGCUGAGGUCUUGAGUCCUCUCGAACUCCAUUUGUCCGUGUUCUAUGCUGGGGGUCUUCCUGCGACACUAGAGUGCGCAGGUCAAGACCCCCUGUGCAAUGGCCAUUUUAGGCCAGGAAAGGCGCAGCGAUUCUCCCAGGAGGCUCAAAGAGGAGCGGCUAAAAACUGUUGGGGAGGUCUGCUGUGCUUCCACUGUGGUUACAGUAAAGAACCGACUUCGUCUGGAGGACGCAUCCUGUACUUUAAUCAAAUUCUCAGUCAACAUAUUCUCAGUGAUUAAUGGCCCAACUGCUUCAUUUUCGGUCCAGAGCGCAUAAACAAGAUAUUUUUAGCUUGAUGCUUUUGAACAGAGAGAAUAAAAAGCAGAUACACUAAAUAAACAA